Molecule: ribosomal RNA, 464 nt
Filed under: uncultured bacterium
Lineage: Bacteria
Description: partial 16S ribosomal RNA
Rfam family: Bacterial small subunit ribosomal RNA
Source: RNAcentral
ACGAACGCUGGCGGCGUGCUUAACACAUGCAAGUCGAACGGAAAGGCCCUGCUUGCAGGGUACUCGAGUGGCGAACGGGUGAGUAACACGUGGGUGAUCUGCCCUGCACUUCGGGAUAAGCCUGGGAAACUGGGUCUAAUACCGGAUAGGAGCCAUUUUUAGUGUGAUGGUUGGAAAGUUUUUUCGGUGUAGGAUGAGCUCGCGGCCUAUCAGCUUGUUGGUGGGGUAAUGGCCUACCAAGGCGGCGACGGGUAGCCGGCCUGAGAGGGUGGACGGCCACAUUGGGACUGAGAUACGGCCCAGACUCCUACGGGAGGCAGCAGUGGGGAAUAUUGCACAAUGGGCGCAAGCCUGAUGCAGCGACGCCGCGGGGGGGAUGACGGCCUUCGGGUUGUAAACUCCUUUCGCUAGGGACGAAGCUUUUUGUGACGGUACCUAGAGAAGAAGCACCGGCUAACUACGUG